CCAGCAGCAUCAGCAUUCCGGCGGCGCGGGAGGCCGCUGUCCUCGCCCGACCCCGGCCCGGUCCAGUCCAGAGCAUGCCCGGCACCAAGUCUGCCCAAGCAAGGUCCGGGUCAUAGCCCAGUCACCUGGAGAAGAUGGAUGCUUCCACAUGAAGUAUGCCAGUUCUGAAUCUUCACCCACAACCCUGUCCGUGCCCUGAUGGAUCAUCCUCAGGAGGUUGUGACUUUACUGUAAACUGAGGACAAAAACUGAGAUGACCAGCCUAUGUCUACACCUGGCCUAUCACCCGUGGCCAGAUGGGAUCUGACAGCGUCUGUCCAACGUGGUCCUGUCUACAGCAAACAAUCCUCCUCAGCCUACCAGUACUACCAGCCUUCCUCAGCCUGGCCCCGGUCAACCUGCCUCAUCUAUGGCUUAGCCACCACUGCUUCUGGAGCCUCCAAUCCUCUCCACUUCCCAUCCCUAUACAUAACCCAGGUCUCUAGAGAUCACAUCUUUCACAUCUGGGUCAUCAUCCCCCAAGGCUUUGAGGGGCCCGGGUAGGAUUCCAGGUGAUCAAGGAUGUCAGAAGAAAGGAAUAAUCCCACAGAGGGAGCAUGAGCACCUGAGACGGGACUUAGGGUCAUGUGCCUUAGCUUCUUAGUGCAAAGGCUGGGCCAUUGGGAUGAUGGAUGCCAAGCAUUCCUUACAAUCCCAUUAUUUGUGAGGUUUCUCAUGAUCGUAGCUAAAAGGUGGAAAAGGGCAAUAAGGCCGAGAAAGCCCUGGUCACUGAAUCCCUAGUGAAGUCACCUCCCCACAGGACACUUAAGGACAACCAUCCUCCUCACUGGCCUCCCACCUCCAGGACAAUUCCCGGACUCCAAGAUGUCCCAGGGAAGGUAACAGAGAUGGGUUGGAGGGCAUGAGAGGACACACUUCCACUGACCA
This is a long non-coding RNA of Onychomys torridus (southern grasshopper mouse), 927 nucleotides long. RefSeq lists it as uncharacterized. NCBI's taxonomy places the organism in Eukaryota, Metazoa, Chordata, Mammalia, Rodentia, Cricetidae. The record is from RefSeq and is a predicted model, not a curated record. The transcript is spliced from 3 exons.